This 432-nucleotide ribosomal RNA is filed under the name uncultured Bacillota bacterium. RNAcentral's name for it is "bacterial SSU rRNA". It matches the Rfam family "Bacterial small subunit ribosomal RNA", at positions 104 to 533 of the family's 1533-position model. The record is from RNAcentral. Lineage: Bacteria; Bacillati; Bacillota.
GGGUGAGUAACGCGUGGGAAACCUGCCUUUAAGACGAGGAUAACUAUUGGAAACGAUAGCUAAUACUGGAUAGGAUAUAUUAUCGCAUGAUGAUAUAUUUAAAGGUUUAAAACACUUAGAGAGGGUCCCGCGUCGCAUUAGUUAGUUGGUGAGGUAAUGGCUCACCAAGGCGACGAUGCGUAGCCGGGCUGAGAGGCUGAACGGCCACAUUGGGACUGAGACACGGCCCAAACUCCUACGGGAGGCAGCAGUAGGGAAUUUUCGGCAAUGGGGGAAACCCUGACCGAGCAAUGCCGCGUGAAUGAUGAAGGUUUUCGGAUUGUAAAGUUCUGUUGUUAGGGAAGAAAUAUACGGAUAGACUCUGUAUUUGACGGUACCUGACUAGAAAGCCCCGGCUAACUACGUGCCAGCAGCCGCGGUAAUACGUAGGGG